RNAcentral lists this transfer RNA (111 nucleotides) under Pyrodictium delaneyi. RNAcentral describes it as "tRNA-Pro". It matches the Rfam family "tRNA". Rfam says of the family: Transfer RNA (tRNA) molecules are approximately 80 nucleotides in length. Their secondary structure includes four short double-helical elements and three loops (D, anti-codon, and T loops). Further hydrogen bonds mediate the characteristic L-shaped molecular structure. tRNAs have two regions of fundamental functional importance: the anti-codon, which is responsible for specific mRNA codon recognition, and the 3' end, to which the tRNAs corresponding amino acid is attached (by aminoacyl-tRNA synthetases). tRNAs cope with the degeneracy of the genetic code in two manners: having more than one tRNA (with a specific anti-codon) for a particular amino acid; and 'wobble' base-pairing, i.e. permitting non-standard base-pairing at the 3rd anti-codon position. Lineage: Archaea; Thermoproteati; Thermoproteota; Thermoprotei; Desulfurococcales; Pyrodictiaceae. The record is from RNAcentral.
GGGGCCGUCGUCUAGCUUGGUAGGAUGCCAGCCUGGGGACGCACCCCGCCGCCCCCAGGGCGGGCGCCAGAGCGCUGGUGGUCCCGGGUUCAAAUCCCGGCGGCCCCACCA